UACGAAGGGGGCGAGCGUUGUUCGGAAUUACUGGGCGUAAAGGGCGCGUAGGCGGCGAUCCUAGUCAGAUGUGAAAGUCCUGGGCGUUAACCUGGGGACUGCAUUUGAUACUGGAUUGCUUGAAUUCGGGAGAGGAUAGCGGAAUUCCCAGUGUAGAGGUGAAAUUCGUAGAUAUUGGGAAGAACACCGGUGGCGAAGGCGGCUAUCUGGACCGACAUUGACGCUGAGGCGCGAAAGCGUGGGAGCAAACAGG
This 253-nucleotide ribosomal RNA is filed under the name uncultured bacterium. Its description in RNAcentral is "partial 16S ribosomal RNA". It matches the Rfam family "Bacterial small subunit ribosomal RNA", at positions 524 to 776 of the family's 1533-position model. The record is from RNAcentral.